Molecule: long non-coding RNA, 10428 nt
Filed under: Eucalyptus grandis
Lineage: Eukaryota; Viridiplantae; Streptophyta; Magnoliopsida; Myrtales; Myrtaceae
Description: long non-coding RNA (EGRA_LNC003209)
Source: RNAcentral
UCUAAAUAAAGCUCAACUCUUAUAUCCAACUAGACCGCAUCAGUGUCAUUUAUGCAUAAGCCAAGUAUGAAGAAUAAUAAAGAUUAGCAACUUGCAUAAAGCUACUGUUUCAUCAGAAUGCCAACCACCACCUGGAUAACAUUAAAAAAAGCAAGUAAAACAGGAAAAGGAGAUUGGCUGACACGGACAAAAUUAUGGCAAUUUCCACAUUAAGACAUCAAUGGCUUUAUCUUUUAUUACUCCUUAAUAAAGGAAAAACAGCAAUCUUAACGCAACACAGAAACAUUCUUAAGAAAACACGAUUCAGUAGUUAAAUGACUUCUCUUUCCAUUUCACAAAACUACUCUUUUUUCCUCUUCAUAAUGUCGUGAGAAAAAGGGGAAUGCCGAUCAGAAAGCACUCUGUGGCAACUUCUCAUGCUUAACUUACAGAUUAAUAGCAGCAUUAUCGAUACCUGAUCCUCACAACAUAUAAGCUUGGCUAGACAUUGCAGUUUUUAAUAACAAGAAUUGUUAGAUAAAUGUUAAUGCGACUGGCCUGGAGUCACUACGUAAAUAGAAAUUCACCUUUGGUGGAGGGAUUCCUAGGUUUACAAACCCUAAGCACCUGUCCAUACUUCACUACGUAAAGAAUUGGCUAACGAAAUUCCACUCAAGGGCUUUCAAAUUUCUCUGAUUUAAAUUCCUGUCACCAAAAUGUAUGAUGUUAUACAAAUUCUAGCAAGGGAAUUGGCUCCUGUUCAGCAGUUCUUAUUGUCAUACUAGUUAGUGCACGAGGCCACAUUACUAUCCCCAAAUUAUAGUUCAUUAUGCAACUUCCCCACAUUCUGAUACUUUGGACAAAAGAUUAUGCUGUCGACAUUCUGUUGCCAAAUACCCAUUUCUGUCUCACAGCUACAUUUGCUAUCGAGUCAAUAUUCAAACCAAUAUCUCAUGUGAAUGAAUUCCUUUCCCUGGCUAGACCUCAUAAAACUACUAAUACUCUUAUCUGUGCCUUUGUACAUUUGUAUCCUACUAAAUCAUAUAUGUAAAGUCUAGCAAGAAAGGUCAGUCAUCAACAAACUAUUAAAACCUGUAGAAAAAUAUGAGAAGUAUCACACAUAAUACAUGCAUUCCAUAAAAUUUAAAGAAUAAAACAAAACAGUGGUACAAAACCUUUUGGUAAGCCUCCUCUUGCCAGUCACCCCCGGCCGAAUGCCCCGUUUGGGCAGAGCUAUCAGUAGACACUACAAAAGUAGAAGAAUAACUCUUCAUGGACUGUGUUGACUGUGGAACUGAAGACUGUUGAUUUUGUUGGAGACCAGCUAGAGGAGCUGGUUGCAUUGAUGGCGGCUGCAUGACAGAAGAUGUUUGGAGGACAGACUGCCGAGAAGCCUGCAGCUGAGUUGGCUGUAGCAUAUUCUGUUGCUGCUGUUGCUGCUGCUGUUGUGGAAUNNNNNNNNNNNNNNNNNNNNNNNNNNNNNNNNNNNNNNNNNNNNNNNNNNNNNNNNNNNNNNNNNNNNNNNNNNNNNNNNNNNNNNNNNNNNNNNNNNNNGUAAAUAUACUGCUGUGAAUUCUGAGACUGUUGUGUUGCUGUAGGGAAACCAUCUGUUGCCUUAGCUUGAAGUUGCUGAGAAUUUACGAACAUGUUGCUAUUGAUACCUUGGCCCAUUGAGUUCCCCAGUGAGUUCUGAGCAACACUGGGCAUAUUUUGCAUGUUGUUGUUUUGUCCAAUAGUAUUCGGGAUGGAAGAUUGGUUCAAGCCAGAGACAGAUGGCAAUGUAGACAAUAGACUGGCUGAAGCCUGAACUUCAGAUGGAACAUUAUUCUGAAUAUUCUGAACCAAUAACUGUUGACGUGCUUGAGGCUGAUUCACAGCUAAGGAAUUAGGAAUUGAUUGGCUUUGAUUUUGAAUUUGUGACUGCAUAACUUGAGAUGACAUACAAUAUAUACAAGUCAUGUUAGUCGAUCAAGAAACCAACCAAUUCAGUACAGCGGCAUUAACUACAAAUAGCACGAAGAGACAAUGAAUGAGAGAUAAAUGCACCACAAGUACGACCUUAGACCAUUAUGUAUUCCAACUUGAAAUUUUCUGAGCAAGUGAUACUGGAUGGAUAAUGGACAUGCAAACACAGACAAACAAUGACCACUCAUUUUCUUUUCAACAAAUACUAAAUAAAAGUCUUUGUGAAAUUUAUGUACUUGAAUUGAUCUUGAAAUUUACAAAAAUAAAUAAAUAAAGGACAAAGGUAAUCAUCUUUCAAGCACACAUCUUCUGAUGCCAUAGGAGACUCACUUUAACAAAGAAGAAAGAUAAAAUUUGAGGCCAAAAAAGUGGGAGGAAGUUACAAAUGAUGCAAGCAGUUGUCCCUUUCUAGCAAAACUUAAGUCUUGCUGCCACUCUUUGAAAAACUUGCUCUUCACAAAUGCAAAUCUAAUUCUACUGAUGAAACAAACUGAUUUUUAGUUCUUUAAUCAAUAUAUUACAAAUUUAAAAGGGAUAUUCAAAUGUGCCACUGCCCAUGGUAUAAACGUGCAUUUGAGGUUACAAAUGAGCAAGAUUGGAAAAAAUUUAUUAAAUUCAGGUUACUACAAUGAAAAUCCACAAGCAGCAUGGCUUGUAGUGAGUAUACAUGUGUACUGUGUAAAGCCCAGUAAAAGCAACAACAGGGCAAGUCCUAAAAUGUGUUAUGCUAAUGCACUUAAGUCCUAAAUUUUCAUUUUGUGCAUUUAAGCAUAAAACUUGUAAAUGUCGAUGCCCUUUAGUCAUUCCAUUAACUCCGUCAAUUUUAAGUCGGAUGGAAGAUUUCACAUGGCUUUCUUUUACGGUUUUCUUAAGCCAAAGUGGCUGUUGAUAUUAUAAAAAAAAAGGCCACCUAGAUUUUCUGCCCACUAAAACCUAAUGGAGCCAACAGAGCUAACAGAAGACCUAAAGUAAAUGACUAUCACAAGUCUUAGGACUUAAGUGCACAAAAUAAAAGUUUUAGGACUCAAAUGCCUCUAUCAUAACAAGUGUCAAGACUCCUGUUGUAAUGUCCCCCAAAAACUAUGUAUACGAAAAAAUAGUACAAUUACAUAAAUGAAUAAACACUAUAUGAGGGGAUAACGAAACGAAAAUUAUAAUUCCUACAUUAAUGAUACCAAAUAACAGGAACUUAAGUCGUACCCGGGUCAUUACUACUAUUCCCAGCAGGGUUAGAUGGCAAAGCAUUAGGUAUGGUAUUCUGAGACUUUGUCUCCAUUGUCAGCAUCUUCAAAGAUAUCUUCCUUAGAUAAUCGGACUAAAAGGGAAAGGAAGCAGAAAUCACUUCAUCACUCAAUCAAAUUGAAAAGAAAAUGAAGCAUAUAUAAAACCUUAGCAAAAUAUUACAGCAAUGAGUAAACCUAAUUUCCAUGGGGCAAAGCUAAACGUAAAUAUUUAACAGUUCCAGUUACUAUAUGGAUGCAUGCAUGAAUGAUAAAAAUUAUCAACAAAUUAUGCACAUAAAAGAACGCUUCUCUUAAUUUUAAGCACAAGCCUAUCCAGUUUGUUUAUGCAUCCUCUAUCCACAUAGAAACUUCAUACCAAUUAAUCACAAAAGGCAUGGACAUCAUAUAAUACCUGGCUUAUUGCAGCAGUGUAAAUUUUUUCCUCCAUUCGCAUGGCAAUUUUCUUGAGUUCUUGCAAACCCUCUGGACCAGAAACAGGAAGGUGUCUCUUCAAGGCCUCCAUUCUGCAUAUCAAAAGAGAUUUGCACUUGAUACGAAAUUCUUCUUACCAAUAAUUUUUUCUUUCCUCAACGAUAAAUAAGAUUUCACUAAGAAGGUACCAAAGGGGUGGCGCCCCUAACAGAAUGGCUUUAGGUAGAAGCCACCCAUAAACAAAUUCAUGGACAAAAGACUUUUUUUAACAUUUCCAACAAACUAGACAUAUGAAACUGGACUUUCCUGCUACCAAAAGUGAGGAGUGUACAACCAAUUAUCCCUAAAAAGAAUCCCACAAGUAUUCAAUUCCUUGAAAUGCUCUUUUGUUCCUCUCUCUCUCUCCAAAUGAGCCUAAAAAAAAGGAGAAAUGGUAAUCACUCUCUUUCCGAGCCACAAACUGAAAGCCCCUCUCCAAGCCCAAAUUUCAUGUUGCAAUGUUCACUCCCAAUAUUGCAAAAACUGCAGCCCAGAAUCUUUCUGGUGCAGGUACAAUGUCAAAUUGAGUGAUUCACGCUCUCUUCUUCAGUCUUUGCACAAAAAACACCCGUUAGCCUGUACUUUCCCCUCCACUGAGCAUUAUCCAAAGUAAGAAUACAUCCCCAAGCAUCUCAAGCAAAAAACGAAGCUUUCAAUGGGACCNNNNNNNNNNNNNNNNNNNNNNNNNNNNNNNNNNNNNNNNNNNNNNNNNNNNNNNNNNNNNNNNNNNNNNNNNNNNNNNNNNNNNNNNNNNNNNNNNNNNUCAGAAUUAAGUAUUUGCCUCCAAAACCCCAGUCGUCUAUUUUUGCUACCAUCCCAGAAAAUUCUUUCAGAAAAGAACUAGAUAUGGCAGAAAUGCGAAAUCGUCUCAAAAAUCUACAAAAGGACAAAUGAAAAGAAAAAAUGCUUACAAAAUCAAGUUCAAUUGUUAUAAAAGAAAGGCCAAAUUAGAUGAUGUUAUCAAAUCCGCUAGAAUCUUUUCUAAAGGAUUUAGGUACUCAGAAACAACCUAAACCUGCUAUUCAACAGCCUAAUCCUGCCAUUUCAAAUGAUUAGAUUCUGCUCCCAGUCGAACAAACUGUUCCUACCACUUCUGAUACCGAAUCAGAAUCAGUAUCAUUUUCCUCCUCUUCAUCCUUUUUAAUUCCUGAUGUUGAUUCCCUUCUUGUUGCAUCAAUAAAUUCAUCAAUAUUCAUGGCUGAUCCUCCAGAUCAGGAUAUGGAAUCAAAUUAUUCCGAGCCAGAGAUUGUUCAGAACAAUCCGGGACACCAUGUAUCAAUGGCUUCAAAACAGUUUUUCACCAUAGAUGACAUCCCCUACCACAAAUAGCUAGAAAGACUCGAAGAGUUUCAUACUUGGUUGAACACUCAAUCCAUUACCAAUCAUGAUAUGAAUGAUGUCAUUUACAAAUUUGUCACAAGGUUCAUGGGAAGCCUUAAACUUUGGUGGAAAUCUGUGUCAGAACAAGACCAAAUUCAUUUUCUAAUGUCACCUGAUUUUAGCCAUGUCAUCACUCUCUUAUAUCAUUUCUUUGUGGGAAAACCCACUGAUCUCAUAGAAAUGAAAAUGAGAGAAUUUUUCGAAAGAAAAUGUUGCUCCCUUCAGAAGAAAUAUCUUGAUAAGCAUUAUCGAGAAAUGCUUCAACUUUUUUAUCAGAUUGGGGCUGAUCUAAAUCUGAAACAUGUUUUCCUGACUUUCAUCCCUAAAGAACUAUCUUAGAUGGUUGAAAGAUCUUUUUUUGGAAGAUAGAGGAGAGUACAAGAUAUUCCCUUGGGAGAAAUACAACAAGAAAUCCAUCUGUGUCUUGAAGAAUUGUGCCUGAAGUGCUAGAUGGUCCGUACCUACAUCAUAGAUGACAGAGAACUCGAGACAGCUUGCUCUCGCCAAAAUUUAAAGAUCAAAUAUUCCAAGAAAGACUGUGAUGGUACUUGCGGGAAGUCUUCUCUAAAGAAGAAACACUUUAAGAAGUUCUGGUUAAAGAAAUCCAAACAUGGCCACAAGCACUUCCAAAGAAAGAAGAAAUUGCGAUACCUUCGCAAGAGGAAAGAUCGCACGAGCCAUAAAAAAUCAAAUCACUGCUUUAUCUGCAACCAGAAAGGGCAUUUUGCCAAAAAUUGCCCCAAGCUAGAAAAGGUCAGCAUCAUUUGAUACAUCAAAUUAAGAAUGAAACAGGUAUUUAUCUUUAAAAUGAUGAUAUCGAAUCAUUAUUCUCUGUUGAUGAAAAAUCAGGUGAACAAACUUUUUGUGUCAUUCCAUGUUACCCCACUUCUAGUGAAAUUGAGUCAAAUUCUAAGUUUGAAAAUAUUUUUCAUAUAUCAUCUACAUCUCCAAAACCAAGCUUUGACAUAUUUUCGAGCUAGACUCAUUAUCCCCAUUUCCCUGUAAAAAUCCUUACCUUAAAGUUUGUCAAACCAAUUACUAUCAUUGCUCUCAUCGAUACUAGAGCAAGUUGUUCAAUAUUUGACACCAAAGUUCUUCAUGAAGAAUUCUGGACUCUUUAUAUCCGAUAUUUCAAUUCUGUCUCAGGAGAUACUUUCUCCACGAAUGUCAGAACCACCCCCAUAACUGUCCAGUUCUUCGCCUAGUGUUCAAUAUCCACAAAGAUCUUUGGAUCUAGUCUUCCCAACAAAGACUUAAUCAUUGGUAGGGACAUCAUGACUCAAAUUUCUCAACUUUGAAUCAUUCCUGGAAAAGAUCUUAGGUAUAAAGAUCAAUUUUCUGAGUUCGUCAAUAUUCAGAAACUCUUUUCUAUUCAAAUGAGUUUAUUAGAUCCAAUCAUGUAAAAAUUAUUGGAAUCUUGUUCAGAAUCCCAUUAUGAAUUCGCUCAGAAAUGUUCUCAUCCUCUAUUAGAAAAUCCAAAGUUUUUUGUUCGUCUUCCAUUCAAAAAGAAUGAAGACAUCAAUCCAACAAAGGCGAGUCAUAUGGGAAUGAAGCCAGAACACUUGGCUUUAGCUCAAAGGGAAUGCUCAGAACUAUUGUAGUAAGGCCUUAUUGAAACCUCCAAUUCUCAAUGGGCUUGUAAAGCAUUUUAUGUCAAUAAGUGUGCCGAGCAAAACAAGGGAAAAAUGAGGCUAGUGAUCAACUAUCAACCCCUCAACAUUUUUUUCCAAUAUAAUAAAUUCCCUUUACCCUCCAGAGAUUCCCUCUUUAUUGGUCUAACCAAUGCCCACAUUUAUUCCAAAUUUGACCUCUUAUCGCCUAUAAAAAGUGAGGAGGGUGUAAUGUGUUGGGCAGAAUCCCUUGAAGUAAAGUGUGUGCUUUGUGAAAAAAAACCUCUCUAUGGCUUUCUAAAUUCAUCUUCUUCUCCAGCCCGAUAGAAUCCUCCAAGAAAUGCAGCUUGGGUAGGUUAAAAACGUUUCUAUCCUAACAUCUUUGAGUGUCUCUAGACUCUGAACUAAAGGGCUGAGUGGUGUUUUACUAAAAGACUGUCCCUGAAGGGCUUGAACGGGUUGUUCACCCACUGUGGAAUGCAUACCUAUAGAAAAUUUACUCUCCUUCCCCGAUUCUAAGUCUAGGACCAAUGAUCAAAUAUUUGAUAUUUUCACUAAGUCUUUUUAGGCAGUAGUAAAGUUAAGUAUAUUUAUAACAAGUUAGGCAUGCUCCAUCCUGAGAGAGAGUGUUAAAGUAUCAGAGGAUUAUUAUAGUUAUUAACACUAAGAAGGUUAUUAUAAUCAUCUGGGAUACACAUGAUAACUAUUCUUUUUCUUUGUUUUUCUAUCUUUCUAUUUCCAGAAACAAGUUUGGAAUAAAAAAUGUGUUUAUCCAUUUGAUAAUGUAAUUUCAUAUUUCUAUUUCUAAAAUAAAUUUUAACUCCAGAAAUAGGUUGGAAUAGUUUAAGGACCAAAUUGAGCCGAUCGAAAGUUCAGGGACCAAAUCAGACAUUUAUCAAAUAGUUCAUGGAUCAAAUUGAGCCGAUCGAAAGUUCAGGGACCAAAUCGGAUAUUUAUCAAUAGUUCAAGGACCAAAUUGAGCCGAUCGAAAGUUCAUGGACCAAAUUGCACAUUGAGUAAUAGCAUAGGGACCAUUUGUGACAUUUUCCCUAAAUUUUAUGAUUGUAAAAUACAUAUUUUUGCUCAGAAAAAGAAUCCAAAAUUUGGUAACAUUUCUAUUCCUCUAUUUUUAUGUUCUUUUGUUCCCCGACAAAAUCCACUUCAAGCUCUUAUUUGAAAAAUUAAUGACAUUUCAGAUCCUUAUUUAAAGCAAUGUCCACUUUAACAAGAAAAUAAUUAUACUUCAAGCCCUUAUCAAGAAAACUAUGUCUAAAUAGAAAUUGUUCCCGUUAACAUAAAUGUUAUCAAAUACCACCGAAAUGGCAAGAAAUAAAUUUAUGAAACAGAAUGUUUAUCAUUCGACCCUAAGUCUUAUUUAACUAAUAAUAAAAGUGCGAGUGGCAAACAUUAAUCAGUUUGUAUGCUCUCCUCUUUUGUCCCCUAUCAAUUUCUACACUAAGAAAGAAGAAAAACUUUAAUAUAGUAGAUGACAACUACUAAUAACAGCAGCGCCCAAGCUGCAUUCCGGAGUUGGAUGUUGGAACGCCUUUGAUGAGUCUGCAGUUGCCAAGGAAGCUGCUGCUUAGCCUGCUGUAGCUGCUGCUGCAGAAGCUGUUGUUUGAGUUGCUGCUGCAUUUGAGGUUGCUGAUAUUGUUGCUUAAGCUGCUGUGUCUGUAGCAUCUGUUGUUCCUGUUGCUGUUUGAGAGGCUGACAUUGAAGCAUAUUGGAAUUAGACUGAUGUUUGUUGACAUUUGAUUGUAACAUGUAUACCCCACCCUGUUGCUGCAUGGUGCUCAUAUUCACCUGUUGUGGAGCAACAGGAUUCUGCUGCAUAGAUCCCAUACCAAUCACCUGCAUUGUACUCGAGGCAUUACCUGUUCCAGAGUCCAUAUUGGAAUUCGGCUGUAGGGAAUCAAUCAUGGUUUGCUGUGCAUUUGAAACCCCAGACAAAGACAUGGAAUAAUGAUUCAAAUUUCCCAUAUUGUUCUGCUGCAUUGAUGCUACAGAACCUUGUAAAUUCAUUGAUUCUAAUUGAGGGUUCAUUUGAUUUUCAUGUGACUGUACUUGAGUAGUUUGAGGUUGCAAUUGCUGCUGCUGCUGCUGCUGCUGCAUUGAGUGCACAUGAGGAGGGGCAAGUUGCCCUUGCUGCAUAGCUACUUUCCUGGGCCUACUUGUGUUGAUAAAGUUUAUAAUCUGUUUCUCAAAACUAACCAGCUUCUCCUUGAAAGAAGGCACUAUAUCAGCUUUGUUAACGUGCAAAAUAGCAAUUACGCGCUCCAACAUCAAUUUAAAAUUUUUCAAUUUGUCAAGCUGAUCUGACUUUGGCUGUAGCGGAAGAGACUCAUGCUGCAAUGUAUAAGAAUAAAAUAUGAUAAGAAAGAGAUCAAAAAGGAUGAUAGACCAUUUAAAGAUUUAAAAAUCAAUUAUUAGUCUGCCUUUCUUAAGAAAUGUUUACUCCAUGUAACAAAUUAGGAAAGAAUCAAAAUUAAGCAAUAACUUUCUCGGAAUGUUCCCAAUAGCAGACUUCAUUCACAUACCUGCUGUAACUUCAUAGAGAUUUUCUGGUACAUCUCAUUCAAUUCAGGUAAAUAUGUGUCCCUCAUGGAUUUCAUCUGCAACAAAAAUAAGUAGUGUAUUGAUCAAUCCAAACUCCUCCCAGGUCGUUUUCUUCUACCAAUCAAAUAACAUAUAUCUUCCAAUACUUUAUUGAGAUAAAUAACUGCAGACACUCACAUUACCAGCAGACAACUUACAGUAAGUUCCACUGAUAAUAUUUCUCCAAGGCUAAUUAUCAUAUGAUCUAUACAUUUUUAGCUACAAUCAUCUUCCAAGAGCAAAGAAACAUGAAAUAAGGAACAGGAAGAAGAAUGAAAGAGAGGACAAAAUGACUUAGCAUUUUCGAAUUACUGGAAACAGAUAAUCACAUGUUAGUACUCACAAUAAAUAUCUAAAUAAAGUUCAACUCUUAUAUCAGACUAGACAGCAUCAGUGUCAUUUAUGCAUAAGCCAAAUAUGAAGAAUAAUAAAGAUUAGCAACUUGCAUAAAGCUACUGUUUCAUCAGAAUGCCAACCACCACCUGGAUAACAUUAAAAAAAGCAACUAAAACAGGAAAAGGAGAUUGACUGACACGGACAAAAUUAUGGCAAUUUCUUUUCUACAUUAAGACAUCAAUGGCUUUAUCUUUUAUUACUCCUUAAUAAAGGAAAAACAGCAAUCUUAACGCAACACAGAAACAUUCUUAAGAAAACACGAUUCAGUAGUUAAAUGACUUCUCUUUCCAUUUCACAAAACUACUCUUUUUCCCUCUUCAUAAUGUCGUGAGAAAAAGGGGAAUGCCGAUCAGAAACCACUCUGUGGCAACUUCUCAUGCUUAACUUACAGAUUAAUAGCAGCAUUAUCGAUACCUGAUCCUCACAACAUAUAAGCUUGGCUAGACAUUGCAGUUUUUAAUAACAAGAAUUGUUAGAUAAAUGUUAAUGCGACUGGCCUGGAGUCACUACGUAAAUAGAAAUUCACCUUUGGUGGAGGGAUUCCUAGGUUUACAAACCAUAAGCACCUGUCCAUACUACACUACGUAAAGAAUUGGCUAACGAAAUUCCACUCAAGGGCUUUCAAAUUUCUCUGAUUUAAAUUCCUGUCACCAAAAUGUAUGAUGUUAUACAAAUUCUAGCAAGGGAAUUGGCUCCUGUUCAGCAGUUCUUAUUGUCAUACUAGUUAGUGCACGAGGCCACAUUACUAUCCCCAAAUUAUAGUUCAUUAUGCAACUUCCCCACAUUCUGAUACUUUGGACAAAAGAUUA